CUUCUCUCAUUCCGUUUGUUCCUUGCCGAACCCGUAAUUCCCCGGUCCAUUCCAGAUUAUAAUCUUUGCAAUCGGUGAAAAUGUAAUCUUUAUUUCCGUUUGUGACACUGUGAAGGCCUAAAAUACGAGAACCAAUCAGAAAUGGAUUCACAUUGUCUUGACUCUCAGUAUAAAGGGACUCUAGCUCAAAUGGUUUGUUUACCUUGGAGUCCAUGGAAGCUUCAUGAAAUUUGAAAGUCAGUGACAAUGGACAUGCUUGGCAGUACUUUGAGAGGCACUUUUUCUCCCAAGUCUUCUGCUGGAAUCUUAUUUUUCAAUUGCAUAGGCAUUAACAAGCACUCAUAUUUCCCACUUUGUUGAGUGACAUCAACACGUCCCUCACCCGACGUGAACCCCUCAUGGUUUCACUUCAUAUGCCGUUGUACUAUUUCGUCCUUGUUUUUUUUUUUCCGUUUGGGUUCGUAUUAUAUUUUUCCCAGGUAUUGCGCGUACUUUGUACUAAUUCGUAUUUUUCUGUUUAAUUAUGUUACAGGUGAGUACUCAAGAUUUCCUAGCGAGAAUUCUAAGUAGAGUUGGGCGGCCCUCACGAGACGGGGAUCAUCUACCUGGACGGCGGCGGGCCAGCAGCGAGGAGUCGUCGACGGACAACGAGAUCGAAAACGACAACGAAAACGAGUCGGACGCCUUCGCUUGCGAGGAAGUCACCAGGUGCAGCGUCACCUUCAUCGGAGACAACGUCCUCAUCAACGGCAAAUCUAACCUCAAAAAACACGCCAAAAGAGAAAAACUUCGUAUCCAGUUCAAGGAUGAAACGACCACCUACGAGUACGUCUCUGAAUCAUCUCUGCUGGAAGACCUCAGCCCAAGUCCCAUUCCAACCUGCGGCCAGUCCUCUCCCAGCGUUCCGUCCGUCAUAGGCAAUGUGAGUAGUUUAUCCAGCUAUACUCCAAGUAAAGCACAGUUAGGGAAUCAAGACUUUCAGCUCGGCGUCACGAGAGCAUCCUCGGCCGUCCACUCGACUGUAAACGUACCACCAUCACCCGCUCAAUCUGACCAAAGCAAAACUGAGAGUGACUACUUGAAACCGGCGGAGGACAAUGAGACCCUAACCUGGAGCGAAGGACAGUCGGCAGACUUACUCUUCUAA
Molecule: long non-coding RNA, 1147 nt
Filed under: Bemisia tabaci
Lineage: Eukaryota; Metazoa; Arthropoda; Insecta; Hemiptera; Aleyrodidae
Description: lncRNA ENSASIAIIG012942
Source: RNAcentral